UGGGGUAGUGGCUUACCAAGGCUUUGACGGGUAGCCGGCCUGAGAGGGUGACCGGCCACAUUGGGACUGAGAUACGGCCCAGACUCCUACGGGAGGCAGCAGUGGGGAAUAUUGCACAAUGGGCGGAAGCCUGAUGCAGCAACGCCGCGUGCGGGAUGACGGCCUUCGGGUUGUAAACCGCUUUCGCCUGUGACGAAGCGUGAGUGACGGUAAUGGGUAAAGAAGCACCGGCUAACUACGUGCCAGCAGCCGCGGUGAUACGUAGGGUGCGAGCGUUGUCCGGAUUUAUUGGGCGUAAAGGGCUCGUAGGUGGUUGAUCGCGUCGGAAGUGUAAUCUUGGGGCUUAACCCUGAGCGUGCUUUCGAUACGGGUUGACUUGAGGAAGGUAGGGGAGAAUGGAAUUCCUGGUGGAGCGGUGGAAUGCGCAGAUAUCAGGAGGAACACCAGUGGCGAAGGCGGUUCUCUGGGCCUUUCCUGACGCUGAGGAGCGAAAGCGUGGGGAGCGAACAGGCUUAGAUACCCUGGUAGUCCACGCUGUAAACGGUGGGUACUAGGUGUGGGGUCCAUUCCACGGGUUCCGCGCCGUAGCUAACGCUUUAAGUACCCCGCCUGGGGAGU
RNAcentral lists this ribosomal RNA (618 nucleotides) under uncultured Propionibacterium sp. RNAcentral describes it as "bacterial SSU rRNA". It matches the Rfam family "Bacterial small subunit ribosomal RNA", at positions 253 to 881 of the family's 1533-position model. The record is from RNAcentral. Lineage: Bacteria; Bacillati; Actinomycetota; Actinomycetes; Propionibacteriales; Propionibacteriaceae.